Molecule: ribosomal RNA, 406 nt
Filed under: Bacillota bacterium
Lineage: Bacteria; Bacillati; Bacillota
Description: Firmicutes bacterium partial 16S ribosomal RNA
Rfam family: Bacterial small subunit ribosomal RNA
Source: RNAcentral
CAAGGAAUCUUCCGCAAUUGGCGAAAGCCUGACGGAGCAACGCCGCGUGUGGGAUGACGCCUUUCGGGGUGUAAACCACUUUUCUCAGGGAAGAAGCACUGACGGUACCUGAGGAAUAAGGACCGGCUAACUACGUGCCAGCAGCCGCGGUAAUACGUAGGGUCCGAGCGUGGUCCGGAGGUACUGGGCGUAAAGCGCGCGCAGGCGGCUGUGUAAGCAUGGCGUGAAAGCCCCAGGCUUAACCUGGGAGGGUCGUCGUGGACUGCCCCGGUUGAGUGCCGUAGGGGCUGGUGGAAUGCCUGGUGUAGUGGUGGAAUGCGUAGCGAUCAGGCGGAACACCCGUGGCGAAGGCGGCCAGCUGGGCCGUACCUGAAGCGGAGGCGCGAAGGGGUGGGGAGCGAACGGG